CCUACGGGAGGCUGCAGUGGGGAAUAUUGGACAAUGGGGGCAACCCUGAUCCAGCCAUGCCGCGUGUGUGAAGAAGGCCCUCGGGUUGUAAAGCACUUUCAGUGAGGAAGAACGCCUGGUGGUUAAUACCCAUCAGGAAAGACAUCACUCACAGAAGAAGCACCGGCUAACUCCGUGCCAGCAGCCGCGGGAAUACGGAGGGUGCGAGCGUUAAUCGGAAUUACUGGGCGUAAAGCGCGCGUAGGUGGCUUGAUAAGCCGGUUGUGAAAGCCCCGGGCUCAACCUGGGAACGGCAUCCGGAACUGUCAAGCUAGAGUGCAGGAGAGGAAGGUAGAAUUCCCGGUGUAGCGGUGAAAUGCGUAGAGAUCGGGAGGAAUACCAGUGGCGAAGGCGGCCUUCUGGACUGACACUGACACUGAGGUGCGAAAGCGUGGGUAGCAAACAGGAUUAGAUACCCCGGUAGUC
RNAcentral lists this ribosomal RNA (465 nucleotides) under Vreelandella stevensii. Its description in RNAcentral is "partial 16S ribosomal RNA". It matches the Rfam family "Bacterial small subunit ribosomal RNA", at positions 338 to 795 of the family's 1533-position model. Lineage: Bacteria; Pseudomonadati; Pseudomonadota; Gammaproteobacteria; Oceanospirillales; Halomonadaceae. The record is from RNAcentral.